Molecule: transfer RNA, 72 nt
Filed under: Gemmataceae bacterium
Lineage: Bacteria; Pseudomonadati; Planctomycetota; Planctomycetia; Gemmatales; Gemmataceae
Rfam family: tRNA
About the family: Transfer RNA (tRNA) molecules are approximately 80 nucleotides in length. Their secondary structure includes four short double-helical elements and three loops (D, anti-codon, and T loops).
Source: Rfam by way of RNAcentral
AGCGGUGUGGCCGAAUGGUAAGGCAGCGCCCUGUUAAGGCGCCCUGUGUAGGUUCGAUUCCUACCGCCGCUG